UACGUAGGGGGCGAGCGUUGCCCGAAUUUACUGGGCGUAAAGCGCACGUAGGCGGCUCCGUAAGUCUGGUGUGAAAUCUCACGGCUCAACCGAGAGGCUGCACCAGAUACUGCGGAGCUCGAGGACGGGAGAGGAGAUUGGAAUUCCCGGUGUAGCGGUGAAAUGCAUUGAUAUCGGGAGGAACACCAGUGGCGAAGGCGGAUCUCUGGCCCGUUGCUGACGCUGAGGUGCGAAAGCUGGGGGAGCGAAAGGGAUUAGAUACCCCUGUAGUCCCAGCCCUAAACGAUGGGCGCUAGAUGUCGGGGAACACUCCUCGGCGUCGAAGCUAACGCAUUAAGCGCCCCGCCUGGGGAGUACGGCCGCAGGGUUGAAACUCAAAGGAAUUGACGGGGGCCCGCACAAGCGGUGGAGCAUGUGGAUUAAUUCGAUACAAACCGAAGAACCUUACCUGGGCUUGACAUCCACGAGCAUCUCCCUAGAAAUAGGGAGCCUCGAUGGGGAAACCCAUCGACCCGUGGACACCGGUUGCAUGGCUGUCGUCAGCUCGUGCCGUGAGGUGUUGGGUUAAGUCCCGCAACGAGCGCAACCCUUGUCCUCUGUUGCCAGCGGGUCAUGCCGGGCACUCGGAGGAGACUGCCGUGGUCAACACGGAGGAAGGUGGGGACGACGUCAAGUCAGCAUGGCGGUUACGUCCAGGGCGUCACACAUGCUACAAUGGGUGGUACAAAGGGCAGCCAACGCGCGAGCGGGAGCGAAUCCCAAAAAACCACCCUCAGUUGGGAUCGCAGUCUGCAACUCGACUGCGUGAACGCGGAAUCGCUAGUAACGGCGGGUCAGCCAUACCGCCGUGAAUACGUUCCCGGGCC
Molecule: ribosomal RNA, 866 nt
Filed under: uncultured bacterium
Lineage: Bacteria
Description: bacterial SSU rRNA
Rfam family: Bacterial small subunit ribosomal RNA
Source: RNAcentral